UGAAUUGACGGGACCCCGCACAAGCGGUGGAUCAUGUGUUAAUUCGAUGAUACGCGAAGAACCUUACCAGGUCUUGACAUCCCUUGCAAAGCUAUGGAGACAUAGUGGAGGUUAUCAAGGAGACAGGUGGUGCAUGGUUGUCGUCAGCUCGCGUCGUGAGAUGUUGGGUUAAGUCCCGCAACGAGCGCGACCCUCGCUGUGUGUUACAAGUGUCACACGGAACUGCCGGUCAUAAACCGGAGGAAGGUGGGGAUGACGUCAAGUCAGCAUGGCCUUUAUAUCCUGGGCUACACACACGCUACAAUGGGAAGGGACAAUAGGUUGCGAAGCCGCGAGGCGGAGCCAAUCCAGCAAAACUUCCCUCAGUUCAGAUUGCAGGCUGCAACUCGCCUGCAUGAAGUUGGAGUUGCUAGUAAACGCAGGUCAGCCAUACUGCGUUGAAUACGUUCCCGGGGCUU
RNAcentral lists this ribosomal RNA (458 nucleotides) under uncultured Anaerolineaceae bacterium. RNAcentral's name for it is "bacterial SSU rRNA". It matches the Rfam family "Bacterial small subunit ribosomal RNA", at positions 907 to 1382 of the family's 1533-position model. The record is from RNAcentral. Lineage: Bacteria; Bacillati; Chloroflexota; Anaerolineae; Anaerolineales; Anaerolineaceae.